AUCACCUGGGAAUCUUAUGAAAAUGCAGAUUCUGAUUAAGUAAAUUGGGAUAGAGCCUGCGAUUCUGCAUUUCUCACAACCUUCCAGGUGCUGCUGA
Molecule: microRNA precursor, 97 nt
Filed under: Pteropus alecto (black flying fox)
Lineage: Eukaryota; Metazoa; Chordata; Mammalia; Chiroptera; Pteropodidae
Description: mir-544 microRNA precursor family
Rfam family: mir-544 microRNA precursor family
Source: Rfam by way of RNAcentral